RNAcentral lists this long non-coding RNA (574 nucleotides) under Homo sapiens (human). Its description in RNAcentral is "non-protein coding LINC01608:18". The record is from RNAcentral. Lineage: Eukaryota; Metazoa; Chordata; Mammalia; Primates; Hominidae.
GCAUCCGCUGCUCUGUUAAGUGAUCACCACAUUCAUUGUUCUCGUUUCUAUUAUUUCUGAAAAAAAUCUUCAGGAUUCUGCUUGUGGGAGUGGAUGACAUUUUUACAGUGUUUACAGACACAAAAUGAACAAGAUGUCUGUGGCAACCCUCAGACCAUUGACGCCUUCUCUCCUAUGUAUCAAAUCACACAUUUGGACGUUGACUGAACCCUCACAUGUCAGAUGCUCAAUAUUGAGGUAUAGUAAAAGGGAGCAUGAACUUGAGAAAAUACGCUUUCAACACAAAGCUGUAAUAAUAUAAGGUCAAAUAAGAUUCUGCAUUGGAGAUAGAAAACUCUGAAGGAAGCUUUAUCUAUUCCAGAAUGUCAUAUAGCUGGUAUAAGAAAGAACACUAAUCAUUCCUAAGGAAGAAAAUUAACAACGCCGUGAGUUAUAAUAUCUGGCUGAAACUGAAGGAGCUCUGUGUAAUUAAAAGUCCUUUCUGCCCUGCCUGGCCAUGGUUCUGUAUGCAUUGAUGUCUUACAAACUGAAAAAAAAAAAAGUUAUUUUCUCAUCUCCAUUCCCUAGCAUAGAC